Selaginella moellendorffii is the source of this 1690-nucleotide long non-coding RNA. RefSeq lists it as uncharacterized. The transcript is spliced from 8 exons. The record is from RefSeq and is a predicted model, not a curated record. Lineage: Eukaryota; Viridiplantae; Streptophyta; Lycopodiopsida; Selaginellales; Selaginellaceae.
GAAAGGUGAAAAGGUUUAGGGUAUCCCUUUCGAUAUGGAGGAGAAGAGCGAUGGCGCUCGGCGACAAUGAUGCUUUGCCGCUGGGAUUCGACAUGCGUGGUGCAUUGAACAAGAGCGGCUAUGGCGAUUCAGCGAUUCGAUUUGGAUAGAACUUCCGACCAGAUAAAUGCUCGACGCGUCCGAUCUCGUUCGUUUUCCUGUCAAUGAAGCAGUAAAGUUUGAGACGCUUGCAUCUCAUGUUCUCACAAGUGGUCUUUGGACCACAUUGAGAAGUCCCAGGUACUUUAAGUAGCAUUACUUCACAGCAUUGGUUUCCAAGGUGGAAGAAAUUCUUGGGAGGUCCAAAGAAGCCACGUUGAGUUCUACACUAAAUCUGAGUGCUGGAAGCCGGGUUUGCGUAGCUGGAUGGUUUUUCGUUUAAGCUCGCUAGCAGCAGCGUCGAGAAUUUGGAACGAACUCUCGCUGGUGAUAUAUGUCGGUAUCAGAUGUUUGAGGAGGUGUUGCAGUGCAUUAAGGGGCUCUGGACGGAUGGAGCAGAUGUUGAAACUCGUAGUGUUUCAUUGCAAAUCCGAACGAUGUUUGCUUAUUUGAAUAACUCUCAAGUGAAAGCCGUAUCGAGUACGGUUGCGGCACUUGAGGCGAACGGAGAGCCUUACGUGGGCUAAUACAAGGACCACCGGGUAUUAAUUUGGUGCUCCCACCGAUGCUGGAAGUUAGUUCACGCUUUGUGAAGGUGAACGGCAGCUCCUGAACUACUAUUUGACAGGCAUGGUAGAUUCUCGCGACGUUUUCUAGACUUCGUGCGGAGGAGUUUGAUAACCUCGGACACGAACUACUUGGGACUAUUGAGCUUUUUAUACAAUGAUCUGCCGAGAAUCGAAAAUGCUAUUACGAAGCUUACAGGACUUAUCAGCACCAAUGCCGGGUCGUUUUUGGUCCCACAAAAGUAACCAACUGUUACCUCCUACUGUAAUCAGCAAGAGUCACAGAAUGCUAGAUAUAGUGGGCUGUUCCAGAGACUCCACGGCCAUCUACAGGUUCUCGAACUAUAGUUUUACCUGCGGAAAGUUCAAGAUGGCCCGAAUGUCAUCUUGAGUUCUGCCAUACAAGUUCACAGCGAUAGGCAAACGAGGGAACUCUUUAAAUCCUGCCGAAGUCUUUCCAAAGUGAAAAGAGAAACUACUGCAAUCUUGAGGUUGGAAUAAUCUCACAUAUAAAAGUCAAGUACAUGCAUAAAUGCUCGCCUAGAUUUCCUUUUCAGAGGCUGAAACUGUGGACGAAAUGGAUAUAGUGAUUUAUCCAUUGUGCUUUUUGGAAGAUUAUCGACGUCUGAAAGUCGCGAUAACUCGAGCAAAAGGCGGACGUCGGCCCUGCGGUGCUCCAGAGCUUACGUCUUUUGCUUCGUCCCGGAUCCUCCAUUUUGGACUUACUUCCACGGGUGUUUGAAAGCGUUGAUGGCUUGCUCUCAAGGAAGACUUGCCACGGGUCAUGACUUUAACGGAAGAUCCUUUCGUGAUAAGCAGUGCUACUGCUGAACGACGACGGCAGCGAGCAGACAAAGAGCUCGGGUUUCCUGUUUCAGCAGAAAACGAUGGAAAACCUGGGAAGAACAUCUGUAUUAUAUCAAAGACAGGAUGGUCGAACAAGUAGGAUUUGAUCGAGUGGUAAGAAACUAGUUUUAUUUCGACGA